UGGGGAAUUUUGGACAAUGGGGGAAACCCUGAUCCAGCCAUCCCGCGUGUGCGAUGAAGGCCUUCGGGUUGUAAAGCACUUUUGGCAGGAAAGAAACGUCGCGGGUUAAUACCCCGCGGAACUGACGGUACCUGCAGAAUAAGCACCGGCUAACUACGUGCCAGCAGCCGCGGUAAUACGUAGGGUGCAAGCGUUAAUCGGAAUUACUGGGCGUAAAGCGUGCGCAGGCGGUUCGGAAAGAAAGAUGUGGAAUCCCAGAGCUUAACUUUGGAACUGCAUUUUUAACUACCGGGCUAGAGUGUGUCAGAGGGAGGUGGAAUUCCGCGUGUAGCAGUGAAAUGCGUAGAUAUGCGGAGGAACACCGAUGGCGAAGGCAGCCUCCUGGGAUAACACUGACGCUCAUGCACGAAAGCGUGGGGAGCAAACAGGAUUAGAUACCCUGGUAGUCCACGCCCUAAACGAUGUCAACUAGCUGUUGGGGUCUUCGGACCUUGGUAGCGCAGCUAACGCGUGAAGUUGACCGCCUGGGGAGUACGGUCGCAAGAUUAAAACUCAAA
Molecule: ribosomal RNA, 557 nt
Filed under: uncultured bacterium
Lineage: Bacteria
Description: partial 16S ribosomal RNA
Rfam family: Bacterial small subunit ribosomal RNA
Source: RNAcentral